UAAUUCUAGAGCUAAUACAUGCUGGUAGGCCCGACUUUUGCGGAAGGGCGGUAUUUAUUAGAUAACAAGCCAAUAUUCCUCUGGUCUAUUGUGGUGACUCAUAAUAACUGAUCGAAUCGCAAGGCCUUUGGCCGCGAUAAGUCAUUCAAGUUUCUGCCCCAUCAGCUUUCGAUGGUAGUGUAUUGGACUACCAUGGCGUUUACGGGUAACGGAGGAUUAGGGUUCGAUUCCGGAGAGGGAGCCUGAGAAACGGCUACCACAUCUAAGGAAGGCAGCAGGCGCGUAAAUUACCCAAUCCUGACUCAGGGAGGUAGUGACAAGAAAUAACGGACCGUGUCCUUCGGGACUCGGGAUU
RNAcentral lists this ribosomal RNA (355 nucleotides) under uncultured Spirotrichea. RNAcentral describes it as "SSU rRNA". It matches the Rfam family "Eukaryotic small subunit ribosomal RNA", at positions 153 to 510 of the family's 1831-position model. Lineage: Eukaryota; Ciliophora; Spirotrichea. The record is from RNAcentral.